AUGGUGACCCUCACGCCGCUGCUGGAUCCGUCCAAAGGGAGCAGCAACACGCACACGCUUUGGAUCGUGGCGAUAGCAGUCCCCGUGACCGUGCUCAUCUGCGGCUUCUUGGCAUGUUUCAUGUGGAUGAGAAGGCGAAGAAGAAGAGGGAGGGUGAACAUGCCAACCAUGUCCAUGGAGAUGGAGCAGGUGCUCAAGCUAUGGAAAAUCGAAGAGAGCGACUCCGAGUUCUCGCUCCACGAUUUCGACCAGAUCGCAGACGCCACCAGAAACUUCUCCGACGACUACAAGCUCGGCCAGGGUGGCUUUGGCGCUGUUUACAGGGGCGAACUGCCAGGCGGGCUUGAGGUCGCAAUCAAGAGGCUCUCUACGUGCUCCGUGCAGGGGUUGAUGGAAUUCAAGACCGAGAUCCAGCUGAUCGCCAAGCUUCAGCACACCAACCUUGUCAGGCUCCUGGGCUGCUGCCUCCAGGCCGAGGAGAAGAUGCUCAUAUACGAGUACAUGCACAACAAAAGCUUGGACUGCUUCAUCUUCGAUAGUGCGAAGGGGGCGAUACUGAACUGGGAGCGGCGCUUCCGAAUAAUCGAUGGGAUCGCGCAGGGGCUUCUUUACAUGCACAAGCAUUCCCGCUUGCGAGUUAUACACAGGGAUCUAAAAGCGAGCAACAUCCUCUUGGAUCGCGACAUGAACCCCAAGAUCUCGGACUUCGGUUUGGCGAGGAUAUUCUGCUCCAAUGUCACGGAGGCCAACACGACCAGGGUCGUCGGCACGCACGGUUACAUCGCUCCAGAGUAUGCUUCAGAGGGUCUCUUCUCCACCAAAUCCGACGUUUUCAGCUUGGGCGUCUUGCUCCUGGAGAUAAUAAGUGGGAAGAGGACUGCAGGCUUCUACCAGUACGGAAAGUUCUUCAAUCUCACAGGAUAUGCUUACCAGUUGUGGCAAGAGGCGAAAUGGCACGAGAUGGUCGAUCAGGUACUCGGGGUCGACUACCCGGUGACGGAGUUGAUGAAGUGCGUCCAGGUGGCGUUGUUGUGCGUCCAGGACAGCGCCGACGAUCGACCCAGCAUGUCCGAUGUCGUCGCCAUGCUCAGCGGCGAGGGGCUCACGCUGCCGGAGCCCCGACAGCCGGCCUACUUCAACGUUAGGUUAUCAAGCUUACCGGAGUCAAAUAGUUCCUUUGGUGAAUCGUCCUACAUCAGUAACGUCGCCUUGACUGAUGAAGACGGCAGAUAA
Molecule: ribosomal RNA, 1233 nt
Filed under: Triticum aestivum (bread wheat)
Lineage: Eukaryota; Viridiplantae; Streptophyta; Magnoliopsida; Poales; Poaceae
Description: partial small subunit ribosomal RNA
Source: RNAcentral